This 31-nucleotide non-coding RNA is filed under the name Rattus norvegicus (Norway rat). The record is from RNAcentral. Lineage: Eukaryota; Metazoa; Chordata; Mammalia; Rodentia; Muridae.
UGAAAAGGCAGGAUUCUUCAUACCUUACAAA